This 440-nucleotide ribosomal RNA is filed under the name uncultured bacterium. Its description in RNAcentral is "bacterial SSU rRNA". It matches the Rfam family "Bacterial small subunit ribosomal RNA", at positions 338 to 789 of the family's 1533-position model. The record is from RNAcentral.
CCUACGGGAGGCUGCAGUGGGGAAUAUUGGACAAUGGGCGGAAGCCUGAUCCAGCAACGCCGCGUGAGGGAUGACGGCCUUCGGGUUGUAAACCUCUUUCAGUACCGACGAAGCGAAAGUGACGGUAGGUACAGAAGAAGCACCGGCCAACUACGUGCCAGCAGCCGCGGUAAUACGUAGGGUGCGAGCGUUGUCCGGAAUUAUUGGGCGUAAAGGGCUCGUAGGCGGUCUGUUGCGUCGGGAGUGAAAACCCAGGGCUUAACUCUGGGCUUGCUCCCGAUACGGGCUGACUAGAGGUAUGCAGGGGAGAACGGAAUUCCUGGUGUAGCGGUGAAAUGCGCAGAUAUCAGGAGGAACACCGGUGGCGAAGGCGGUUCUCUGGGCAUUACCUGACGCUGAGGAGCGAAAGUGUGGGGAGCGAACAGGAUUAGAUACCCCUG